AAAAUUAAUUAAAACAUAAAAGUAAACAAAUAAAUAAAAAAAGCAUGUCUCUACAAAGGCCCAAUAAUAUUCCCGAAAGCCCAAGUUGAAAGUUAUAAAAGAAAAGAAAAACUAACUAGGGCAUGCGAGCUUCUCUUCUCUCGUAGCCUAUUGCGCCGCAAUGUCAAAUUCUUCACAAGGAAGAGGUAACAGUUUUCCUUGCACUCCCUUCUUUUUUUGGCAACGCCGUCGUGUUGCUACUAACACAGCUUUGAUUUUUUUUUUUCAGUGUUGCUAAGGUGCUCCCCCGUUUGAUUUAUAUUUGCAUUUCGUGGUUUUUAAUUUAUUUUAAGAGUGGUGCAUUUAUACUUUUUGGGAUUACCAUUUUUUUUUUUUUUGUGGUAGGUCUGUUAGAGUUUGGGAUUUGGAAGAGCAUGGUGAAGGUUCAGAUAAAUAACAAGGAAGAAUUUUCCGUAAUGAGGAAAGGUGAUUACAGUGAUUGACAGUUUGUUAGUCACUUGUGUAUUGUUGCAGUCACAACGGUAAAUAUUUAAAAUUACUUUGAGUUAUUUUCUAUUACCCACAUAGAAGAAAAGUUUUAUAGACUUUGCUCUGCUACAUAUUCCAUAUAAAAUAUUUAGCUAAUAAAUGAUAUUUAAACUUUUUUAAAAUUAAUUUCUAGUUAUUUUUUUUUUUGUGAUUGAUGAGAUAGUUUUUUCUCCACCGAGUGUCCGAAAAUUUCUAAUGCACUUAGCGCAAUGACUUCCCUUUCCUUGAGUGCAUCUUCUUGCUUGCGAGCAGUCUAUUUCUUCCUUUGUUCCAUUGUUUUGUUUGGGAUACUUACAAUUCAUAUUUUCUUUGUUAUAGUUAGGGUUAAAUAUAUGUGGAUUGGAUAGGUUCAUUUUCAUACUUUGUAGUUGAACAAAGUGUAGAGUAAUUGUAGUUUGGAAUCUCAUUUUUAAUUUGUUUACAAUAGACAUGGCACGUGGAAGUUUUUUUAUGAUGUUUCUAUUUGAUUGAGUUUUUAUUUGAUUGAGUUGUUGAUCUGUAAUUAUCAUUUUUGAAUGAAUAGGAUCUUUAAAAAAAUAAAAUAAAUUAUUUCAUCAUUUUUGAAAAUUUAAAAUAUAUUAAAAAAAUAAAAAUUUUCAUAUAAAUGAAUUUGUUCAAAUUUAUUAAGUUCUUUAUGAUCAUUAUUAAAAGGUAUGUUUUCCUUUCAAUCAAUAUAUUGUGCUAAUAAUUACUUUCACUAUUUUAGGCAUUAGGAUUAACCACACUCUGAUAUUACAAAAGAUAUGAGAAUGACUAACACUUUGUAAAGAUAGAAAAUCUAGUUGAGUUGAUUUUUCAUGUUUGUAAAAUAUCAAACUGACUUUGUAAAAGGUUCAAGAUCUUCUCUCAAAUAUUGUAUAUGUUUUAUCAAUUUUAAAUAUAGUAUAUGACGGGUGACAUAAGAAGAAUUAGAAAUAUAGUAGAGUCAUAAAACAUAUUUAAAAAUGAUAGAACCGAUUUUGCAUAUUCAUAAUCCUCUCAUGUCUUGAAUAAUGUCUUGAAUAAUGUAGUUGGAGAAUAUUUGACAUAUUGAAUUGAACUACUCAUUUUUAAAAUUCAAUUUUUGAUAUCUUUUAAGUCAUCAUUCACAAUCAAACUUAAUAAUGAACACAAUACAUGAACUUAUUCUUCCUUUAAAAAAAAAGUUUCCACGAUAAUAUCUUUCUUUUGAUAUCAAAAGAAGGAAGUUAUCAUGUAACUGUCUUGUCUUGAAGGGAGAAUAUGUUCAUAUGCGUCAUUGUACUCAUACGUUAAGUUUGAUUCUGAAGGAUGAUUUAAAAGAGAUCAAACUUUGAAUUUAAAAAAUGAGCAGUUCAAUUGAAUAUGUCAAAUGUUAUCCAUUCAAAGCAUGUAUUUAACCAGAGAAAAUUUUUUAUAAAUGAAUUGUUUGUCUUGAUGUUGAAAUUAAGUGGAAUUCGACUUAAUUGUUAGAGGCAAACUUGAAAUACAAAGAUGCAUUUGUCUUUAGUUGAUAUGUAAGAUAAGAAAUUUGUUGUUGAAAUAACCAUUAGAGGAGGAUUAGCAAUAUGCAAGGUUUGUUUUGUCUUUUUUUAAAUAUGUGUUACGACUCUACAAUAUGAAUUUUUUAUUCUUCUUAUGUCAUCAAUAUGUAUAUAAAGGAGGUAUUUCAAAUUGGUAAAAACAUUCGAAAAUAUUUUAAGAAUACUGAUGUGAGUAUAAAAUUGAUGAAAGGUAAAUAUGUAAAAUAUUAAAAAAAUCCUAAUGGAAUUAAUAUCUUUUUAUUGAUUACUAUUGCGUUUGACUAAGGUAGAUUUUGUUAUAUAUUUGAAUAUAAUAUGGUCAGAAAAUUGAAAUCAAAAUUAUUGUCAUAUUUAAAAUAUUACCAUUAACAUGUUUGGUUGGAAUUCAAUAAUUUAAGAUAAAAGUUAAAAUUAUUUUUGUUAAAAAAUAAAAAAUAAAAGGAAAAUUAAAAUAAUGCUGUGGGAAAUUUCAGAUUGGUCUGAAUUUUUAUUAUCAUACUAUAAAAAAUAUAAAAAAAUAUUCUAGUUGAUAUACAUUGCGUUUCCUGUCUUAAAUAAAACUAUGAAGAUUGAUAUGAAUGUAUGUAGUAGGUGUGUUUGCCUCUAACAUGUUCUUUCCGUUUGAUCUUAAAAGUUUGUCUACUUAAUUAUUAUGCUUAUGCUACACAAGACCACAUUUUGUUGGCUGCUCCAAAGUCAGAACUACAUACUAUGAUGACAUUGACGAAGUAAGUUACAUUAUUGGUAAGUAUCAGAUGAUGAUUUUGUUGUCAGGAUAUUAUUGAUGAUGAUCUUGAUUUCAACCCUCAGCUCAUCAAAAUGGCCAUUCAAUAUUUUAUUUGAUUUUAAUUGGUUAAUAUUUUUAAUAGAAUACGAGAUUGUUUUCUGUGAUAUUAUAUUCUGUCUCUUUUUUAUGGCAAAACAUCGCACUUCUGUUAGUCGUAAUGAUUCUGUAACAUGCACUUCUCUUCCAGUUAAAUAAUUUUAUUUACGGCUUGAAUGUUAUUUUCCUCAAACUAUUAUAAAGAAAUUAUAUUUAUUUUAUAUUUUAUAAUAAUAUCGUAAAAUAUUAUUUUCAACAAAUGUUAUGGUUAUAUUAUACUUUAUUAUGAAACUAUGUUUCUUAUAUAGAAAUGUUUUAUAUGAUUUUCGAAAAAUAGAUAGGAUCCAAGAAAUUGUUACCCAAACUCGAACGAAAAACGUAUUAAUCCGGAUUUGACGUAAACAAUUGGGUUUUAAAUCGGUUAAACUGAAACAUUAUCGAAUUUAUUUGCCUUACACAACUAUGAAACUAAGGAUGUGAAAUCUUCAAGUGUUGGGUUGUGUACAUUUAUUCAAAUUAAAUUCAUAUAUAUGCUACAAAACCCUUGUAUUUGAAUGUGUUUGGUUGUUUGAAUUAAAGAGAGUAAUUAAAUUAUUUACUUUUUUUUUAUUUUUUUUCUAUGUGAUGUAAAAUAGGAAUUGAUUUUGUUAUAUAAAAUGAAUCAACAUAGAUUCAAAUGUUUUUACACUAUUGUCAAUUAAAAUGGUUAUGGUUAUUUUGUAAGAUGCAAUCAAUGUGAAGACAUUUAUUAUAUACAUGAAUGACCAACCAAAUUUCAAGAAUACAAAGUCACAAGUAUAUUAAUAUGUUCAACAUGAAUGACCAACUAAAUGAGUUGAUAUAAUUUCAUUAUUUUUUAAACAAUAGACUUAUAUUUAUAUAAAAGUAACAAUAAGUAUUAAAAAUAACUGUAUAUAUUAAAUGAAUAAUUAAUCCAAAUUAUGAAUCAUAAACAAAAUGAGUAAGAAUUGUAAUAAUGUUUACAGAAAAUAAGGGGUGCAUUAUUCUUUUAAGGAAAACAAAAAGCAAGAUAAUGUACAACCAAAAGAUAGAUUAUAGUAAUCAAAAUUAUUAAAAAAUAAAAACAUUCAAAAAGUAGAUGGCACGUUUACUUGAAUAAACAUUUAGAGUUUUUUAAAUCAUUGUUUAAUCUUAUUAAUUAUUUAAUUAGUUUUGUUGUAACAUAGAUGACAUUCAAGUUUAAAGUUUUAAUUCAAUCUUACUUAUCUUUGUCAUGUUACUAAAAAUUGCUAAUAUUAUUUUCAUUCACAUCUUUUCAAUGAUAUAUUUUAUUUAACCAAUUGGUCACGAUUUUCCAAAAUACAAGUAAUAAAUAUUGUAUGGAAUUGAUGUCGUUAGUCUUGCACUUUUUCGUGUGUUACACUAUAUGUGAUCUUUAAUUUGAAUGUUACUUCCCAAGGUCCAAAGUGUAAAAAUAUUUUUUUGAAACCACUAAAUAUAAUUGUUAUCUUCAGACUGAAAACAUGAAUAUAUGCAUAAUGUAAAAGUCUACACUCAAUCGUUAAACUACUCUCUUUCGAUAAUUUUUUUUUAAUAAUUUUAUGAUAUUUAAACUAUUUAUAAUUAUUAUUUUUUAAAUAGUUUGUUUGGAUAUAAUAAUUGAAAUAUUUUGAAUUUUCAUUCUUUUUUAGAUAAAGUAGAAUAAUUUCUCCUUUAAGACAAACAUUUAUUUUAAAAAUAUUUGGUUUAAUUUUUCGAUCGAAUGUAUCUGACUUAAUUUUUUAUCUUAAUCGGUUUGUUUCGAUUUUUGGUUUAAGCCAACUCGAUUAGAUUCACAAACAUGGUUGAUUUUGCUUAUUUUUCAUUUUGGACCAAAUCAGCUCAACCUUUAGUAUUGAAGGUUGAGUUAAGUCAGUUUGAGUCAAAGAGUUAAGCUAAGUUGUCAAAGGCAAAAGGUUGAGUUGAGUCAGUUUGAACGCAAGGUUUAGUUGAGUUGGUUAUGGCCAAAGGUUAAAAUUAGUCGACCUUAGUCAAAGGUCGAGACUAGUCAAUCAUAUCCAUAGGUUGAAACUAGUUAGCCCUAGUCAAAGGUCAAGAAGAAUCAAUCUUGACUGAGUAGAUCGAGCCUUAACUGAAGAUCAAGACGAGUUGACCAUCUAGAUGAUUUGGACUAGGAUAAAAGUCUAGUAAAACUUUCACAUACCAAAAGUCAUACUAAGUAGGUCUGGGUUAAAGAUCAAGCCUAAGUAGAAGAUCUAGUUAAAUCAACUUAGGCAGAAGGUCAAGUUGGGUCGGUCAUACAGAAGAUCAAAUCCAAUAAUAUAGACAAGUUGACUUUGACUAAAGAUCUAGUUAAUUCAGCUUAUAGUCGAGUCGAAUUAUCCCUAGUUAAAGAUCAAAACGAUUCGACCUGAGCCAAAAGUCAAUGAAUCAACUUUUUAUACUUGUGGAACAACUUGUGAAAUUUCAAUAUUUUUUAGUUAAUUUUAAAUUUUAUUUUAGUUAUUUAAAGUACCUUCUUAAAAUUCCUUAUUUUUAAUUUCUUGUUAAAAUAAGUUAUUUUACUUCAAAAACAUUACAAAUUUUCUAAAUAAAUAAAUUAUUCUCCUUAUCCAAACGUAAUAAUGAUGUUUUUAACAUUGCUCUUUGACAUAUAAAGUCAAAUUUUGGCCAUAGUUAUGUUCUUCUUUUAGGUCUUAAAUGAAAAGCUUUAACCUUAAUAUUAGAUUGGCCACAUUCAACCUUCAGGUUUAAUUCUAAUUUUAAUUCUGUAAACUUCAGUACACAUAUAUCAAAUUAACCACUUUCAAAUUGGAGUAAAAUAUCUUAGUCAAAUAUUCGCAACAAGUAUAAUUUUAAUAGACAAAUUGAUUCAAGCCCUAAUAUGUUAGGUGUGGAUAUAAGUGUAAUUUAGAUUCACCAAAUACCUCUUGGACAAUUUUCCUGGAUGCAAGAUAUUUAUGAUAAAAAAUACUUUAUGAAAUUCAUCACUUAAACAUCAAUAUGUUUUGACAACUAACAUACUACACAUAAAAUUAAUGUCUUUCCAAACUUGUAACACUAUUAUUUACAUAUUCUAUUUCCCUCCAUACAUUAUUUUGCAUCUACUAUACUAAAAUAAUAAUUUCUUUUUUCUGGACAGGAAAGAAAAGAAAAUCAAAAAAUAAAAAAUUCAAACAAAAUAACAUAACAUAUAAAAAAUAUGAGAACCUAAAAAAUGUCUAAGAGUAAUGGUGGUUUUAAAAUAUGACACUAAAAUACUUUAAUAAUAAGACCUGAAACUAUACAUAGGUUUUCUUUUAACAUAAAUUCAUUUUAUAAAAUCUAUUAUUUUCUAAACUUUAUUCUAAAUUUCUCUUAUAGCUUCUCUCUAUAUCUUUGGCUUCAUCCUUUUGAAAAUUGGAAUACACCAUAGAAUUCUUGAAAGUAAAAUCUAUCUUCAUAUCUAAUUAGUUUGUCUAAUAAGGUAAGUUUUCAUGUUGUUCUUUUUUAGAGUCGUUAGGCUUGGGGUUAUACGUCUGGUAUAGAAACUUUAAUGAAUCUUUGUUCAAUUAAAAUUGUUGAGAUGUGAUUAUAUAAUUGAUCCAAGCUUUCUUUUUCCAUAUAUCACCUUCUUUAUGGUUAAGAGUUCUAAGAGCCAAAGGAUAUUGUCUUAUGCUCUUAAAUAGGUAAGGAAAGUUAGUUAUUAAAAGGUUUAAAUACCUCCUUUUUAGUCUCCAAGUUCGGAUCGAAAUAUUUGUUUUGUCUCCAGUUUCAAAAAUGAAGCCCUUUGGUCCCCAUGUUUUUAAUUUUGAGUGCAAUCAGUCCCUUCUGUUAAGUAGAUGCUAACGGCGUUAACUUUUCUUCUCUCUCCUCUGUUAUUCCUGACACUUCUUUCUCUCUCUCCUAUUUCUCUUCUCUCUCUCACCUUUACAACUCACCUUUUUCUCUUUCACCUUUUUCAUCUCUUCACUAUUUUACUUCUCUCUCUCUCUUCUUCUUUUUUCGUAAUAAUAUCGUAGCCACUGCAAAUCAAGACAGCUCAUAUCCAAUGUUUAACAGUAACACAAACCAUAAAUCAGACAAGAGCCAGAGCCAGAUAUCCACAAUCAUACGAUUUCCAGUUUGCAAAUAAUACCACCAAUCGUUAUCUACUUAAGCAACUGUCCUUCUCUCCUACUCAAACUAGGAAAUUCUUUAUCUAGAUGCGCCCACAAAUAAUAGAGCAUCACUGUUUUAGCCAUUUCCAGCUAUUUAGCUAAAUCUUGGGAAGUUUUUGCCUCCAACUUCUAUGUUGAAUCUAGAAAGCAAAUAAACACGAAUUUUCCCCUCCCCAUCACCAUCAUCGUAAGUGCUAUCAUCUGCGGGCGAAUCCUUAGAGGGCGGAGAAAGAGUUGGAAGCAAGGGAGAGGUUUGUGAGGGAAAUUAGGUCUUCGAGGGAGGAAGGGAUUUCGCCAGCGAGGGAGUCGGAGGAGAGGUUGAGAAGUUGGAGGGUGUCGAGCAUGGUGAUGGAGGGGGGAUGUUGCCUUUGAGGCGGUUGUUGGAGAAAUCUAUGAAAGUGAGGUUGGAGUGGAGGUGGCCGGGGAGGGGUCCGGUGAGGUUGGCGUUGGAGAUGGUCAGGGUUUUGAGCUUGGUCAUGUGGGCUAGGAUGACGAAGGAGCCGGAGGCUUUGAUUUGGCUGCUGGAGAUAGUGAGGGAGGUGAGGUUCUGGAGCUGGGAGAGCCAGACGCCGGAGAUGCGGCGGAAGCCGUUGAUGGAGGAGAAGGAGGUGAGGGAGGAGGCGAGUUCGGGGGGAGACGAACGGGGUAGAGGGGGCAGUUGAGGAGGGAGAGGGAGCGGAGGGUGGAGAGGGACUUGAGGGCGGUGGCUGUUUCAUGGUGGUGGUUUGUCAGGAACACAUGAGAUUACGAGAAUGAAGUCUAGUGUGGGAACUCUGAAGUGAGUGACAGAGUAGAAAACAGAGGUAGGUGAGAGAGAGAAGAGAAAUAGGAGAGAGAAAAAGAAGUGUCAGGAAUAGCAGAGGAGAGAGAAGAAAAGUUAGCGUCGUUAGCAUCUACUUAACGGAAGGGACCGAUUGCACUCAAAAUUGGAAACAUGGGGACCAAAGGGAUUCAUUUUUGAAACCGGGGACAAAACGAAAAUUCCGAUCCGAACUUGGGGACUAAAAAGGUAUUUAAACCUUAUUAAAAACCAAUAGUGCCUUGGUAUAGAAAUGUGAUGAAAGAGUGAUUUAGGUUAAAUUGGAUUCGAUGUCUAAUGACUUGGUUGGUUGAGAAUGUGAAUUUGAUUGAUUAAAUCUGAACUAUGAAUUGAUUUGUUAUGAUGAAAGUGAUAUGGUUUGAAUUCGAAUUAUGAGCAUGUAUGCAUUAAAUAUGUAAUUUGUUUAAGGUGGUAUGAUUUCUUUAAAGAUGAGUUAGUCUGUUUCAUUGGAACUAAAGGAUGUAUUUUUUUACUUUAAAUUUUUUUGUUAUGUUUGUUGAUGAGGAUUAUCUAAGAGACAUUUAAUUGAUGAAAUUGGUGAUUCUUGAAUUAAAACAUAGUUAUAUUAUAAUCUUGUAAAGUAUAUUAGUUUGCAAAUAGCUUAAAAAGAGUCAAUUUGAUCAAUUAAAACUCAUAGAGAAAGUUUCGACUUUUGAUGCAGCGCCUGACACUCCUAUAGUGUCAUUGGGUGCAACGAAGUCAAUGAGUUCACUGAUUUGUUGAAAUUGGGUUAGGUGCCACUUCUAGACCGUCAGACAUUUUGAAAUCAAUGUUUUCCAAAGGGGGAGGAGGGAGGGGGGUAACUCCGAGCACCACUUACCUAACGCUAGGCAUUAUCCUGUUUUCCUAUUAUGAUUAAUCUCAAAAAAUUUGGGCAAUUGGAUUGGGCUAAAAUUUUAACAGUUGGUCCUAAACACAUGGUUCUUCACUUUGACUUUUAGGAUCUUUUAUCAGAGGUCUAUGGGUACAAUAAUGCAUCUCACAGUUUUAAUGUAAUUAAUGGAAUUGAGUGUUAUACUAAUAUAAUAGAAAAUGAAUGAUGAAUUAUUAACAUAUAAUUUGAAAUAAAUAAUAGGUGAAUUAUGUUGUGAGAUGAGUUUGGAUUGAGGUAAAAUACAUAAGUACGACAUGGUAUGAUGAUUUAAGAUUAUAUGAGAAUGUGUGAUAUAUAUGAUGUGGUGUGAUGAACGAGUUACGUGUGAUAGGUUGUUCUUUGACUAUUUCUUGUGACGUCACACACCCAUUUGGUAAUGUUUAUUGAGAAUUAAUUAAUAUGAAUUUAGUUUCUAUGCUAUGAAAAGGAAUGUAUAGAUCAAAAUAAUUGGUGCUAAGAGAUAUGUUUUAUGAAAUUAUGAUAUUUUUAUGAGUAUGAAAGUGGAGGAAUGGAAUGGAAAGAUGAAAAUUAUUGAAUUGUAUGUUUGUAUGGGUUUGUGUUUUUAAGGGAGAAGUGAAAAUCCUUGUUAGUUUAGUGUCAUCCAUUGACUCAAGAUACGUGUUGGGUAAAAGUCAUCCUAUACUCUACUAGAUUUACAAACUCACAUAAAGUAUCAUAGUCUAGGUUGUGAGAGUUGAAGGAGGCUCUUAUAGUGAAAUUAAGGGUAAGACUCCUUGUAUGGCUAUGCCACAAGUAACAUAUCUUGUCUAGAGCAAUUUGAUUGAUUUAGUUAGGCCAAGUGGAUCCGUGGCCUUUAUUAUAAUCCACUUUUAUGACAGAUUUAUAAGUGUCCAAUAUAAGUGAAUUUUAACAUAAUAUUGACACUUAUCUUGUUUUAAUUUUGUUUAGAUUAAUUCACUCAUAUUUAGUUUGUUUUGCAGUUCUUGAUAUCAAAAAGUCAAAGUGGAAAAAUAAAGAAAAUGGAUGAAUAUCAAGUAAUCUGGACAAAACUGACACUAGUGUAGCUGAGCUAUAGAGUUGAGGCUUAAGCCACACAAGAAAACUCAUUGCAAAGGAAAACCUCAAACAUUAAGCCUAAAGCUAAGCCAUGAAAACUCCUUCUCAAAGAACUUAUCUCGAAAACAAGACCAUCAAAGCAUAAGGCUUUGGACACAAUAAGAAAACUCUCCUGAGGAGGAAACCUCGAGCACCCACCUUUAGAAAGAUCUGGAAUGUAACUUUUACAACUUGAGCCCAAAAUAUGGAGCUUAAGCCCUGAGAGAGGCAGUUUGGAAAUAUUUGGAAUAAAACCUCUACAACUCAAAGGCCAGAGCUGGAGUUAAGCACUGUCAUAGAUAGUUUAUAAAUACAAACUCAUGUCCUCAUUUUAGGGAUUAAGUGAAGGAUCAAAUAUAUAGUAAUAGAGUAAGAAUGAGUUUGUGAGGCUCGAGAGAGAUGCUUUCAUUGUACAUCUUAUGUCUAGAUAUUGCUAGAACUGUAUUGUAAUAUUUUAUGAGUAGUUGAACUCUCUCGUAUUCAGGUUGGAUGUAAUCAAUUCUAAUUCUCUAUAUUUUUACUUCUUGAAUAUGUAUCUAUGC
This 10224-nucleotide long non-coding RNA is filed under the name Vigna radiata. RNAcentral describes it as "long non-coding RNA (VRAD_LNC005876)". Lineage: Eukaryota; Viridiplantae; Streptophyta; Magnoliopsida; Fabales; Fabaceae. The record is from RNAcentral.